Molecule: long non-coding RNA, 303 nt
Filed under: Olea europaea (common olive)
Lineage: Eukaryota; Viridiplantae; Streptophyta; Magnoliopsida; Lamiales; Oleaceae
Description: long non-coding RNA (OEUR_LNC013892)
Source: RNAcentral
CAACAAAUACACUCUCUGUAUUUUAUUUGCCUACGCAAAGACAAUCUCUCAAUUUUUUCUCAUUAAUUUCUUGCACAAACGAAAGCCUAACUGCUUCUCACUUUGUGCUUACUCACUAUCUCUCGUGUUUUCACUCUACACAAUUUUCUUGCACUUCUCUUUUGCUCACGUUUUGGCACACUACUUUCCUCCCACUUUGGCUCCAAUUUAUAGGAAAAAUUUCACCUUCCUUAUUAAAUGCAUAUCCAUCCAUUUUCAACAAAAUUGGCUCCCAUAAAUGCAUGGCGAGAAAUUUCUUCCAAG